Molecule: long non-coding RNA, 236 nt
Filed under: Brassica napus (rape)
Lineage: Eukaryota; Viridiplantae; Streptophyta; Magnoliopsida; Brassicales; Brassicaceae
Description: long non-coding RNA (BNAP_LNC022630)
Source: RNAcentral
CUCUCUCUCUCUCUCACAAAUCUGUGACUCCGACCCCAAAUCCUCCAAAUCUCUUCCUCAAUCAUGUAAGUCAUCUAAACCCUUCUUUAAAUUACAUUUUUUUAGGUUGGAAUGUUAGAAUUGUGGAUUUUAGGUUUUGAAUCUGAAGAUUUAGGAUAGAAUUGAUAGUUUUAGGAGUUAUAUGUUGUUAGAUUUUGUUUUAGGUUGUUGUUUUGUAUGUAGAUUGAAACUUUUAG